RNAcentral lists this ribosomal RNA (512 nucleotides) under uncultured bacterium. RNAcentral's name for it is "partial 16S ribosomal RNA". It matches the Rfam family "Bacterial small subunit ribosomal RNA", at positions 28 to 523 of the family's 1533-position model. The record is from RNAcentral.
GAUGAACGCUGGCGGCAUGCCUAAUACAUGCAAGUCGAACGAGAGGAAGGAAAGCUUGCUUUUCUGAAUCUAGUGGCGAACGGGCGAGUAACACGUAGGUAACCUGCCCAUGUGCCCGGGAUAACUUCUGGAAACGGAUGCUAAAACCGGAUAGGUAGCAGACAAGCAUUUGACUGCUAUUAAAGUGGCUAAGGCCAUGAACAUGGAUGGACCUGCGGUGCAUUAGCUAGUUGGUGAGGUAACGGCCCACCAAGGCGACGAUGCAUAGCCGGCCGGAGAGGGCGGACGGCCACAUUGGGACUGAGACACGGCCCAAACUCCUACGGGAGGCAGCAGUUGGGAAUUUUCGUCAAUGGGGGGAACCCUGAACGAGCAAUGCCGCGUGAGUGAGGAAGGUCUUCGGAUCGUAAAGCUCUGUUGUAAGAGAAAAACGACAUUCAUAGGGAAUGAUGAGUGAGUGAUGGUAUCUUACCAGAAAGUCACGGCUAACUACGUGCCAGCCGCCGCGGUAA